RNAcentral lists this ribosomal RNA (406 nucleotides) under uncultured bacterium. RNAcentral describes it as "partial 16S ribosomal RNA". It matches the Rfam family "Bacterial small subunit ribosomal RNA", at positions 30 to 526 of the family's 1533-position model. The record is from RNAcentral.
AUUGAACGCUGGCGGCAGGCCUAACACAUGCAAGUCGAACGAGUGGCGGACGGGCGAGUAAGGUCUGGGAACCUGCCUGAUGGAGGGGGCUAACUACUGGAAACGGUAGCUAAUACCGCAUAACAUCAGUUGUGCUCUGAUGGGAUUAGCUAGCUGGUGGGGUAACGGCUCACCAAGGCGACGAUGCCUAGCUGGUCUGAGAGGAUGACCAGCCACACUGGAACUGAGACACGGUCCAUACUCCUACGGGAGGCAGCAGUGGGGAAUAUUGCGCAAUGGGCGCAAGCCUGAUGCAGCCAUGCCGCGUGUAUGAAGAAGGCCUUCGGGUUGUAAAGUUCUUUCGUCGGGGAGGCGUUACCUGCAGAAGAAGCACCGGCUAACUCCGUGCCAGCAGCCGCGGUAAUAC